CAGCCGCCGCGGGAAUACGGAGGGUGCAAGCGUUAAUCGGAAUUACUGGGCGUAAAGCGCACGCAGGCGGUCUGUUAAAUCAGAUGUGAAAUCCCCGGGCUUAACCUGGGAACUGCAUUUGAAACUGGCAGGCUUGAGUCUUGUAGAGGGGGGUAGAAUUCCAGGUGUAGCGGUGAAAUGCGUAGAGAUCUGGAGGAAUACCGGUGGCGAAGGCGGCCCCCUGGACAAAGACUGACGCUCAGGUGCGAAAGCGUGGGGAGCAAACAGGAUUAGAUACCCGUGUAGUCCCUGUCUCUUAUAC
This 301-nucleotide ribosomal RNA is filed under the name uncultured bacterium. Its description in RNAcentral is "partial 16S ribosomal RNA". It matches the Rfam family "Bacterial small subunit ribosomal RNA", at positions 509 to 807 of the family's 1533-position model. The record is from RNAcentral.